AGUGAACGCUGGCGGUAGGCCUAACACAUGCAAGUCGAACGGCAGCACAGUAAGAGCUUGCUCUUACGGGUGGCGAGUGGCGGACGGGUGAGGAAUACAUCGGAAUCUACUUUUUCGUGGGGGAUAACGUAGGGAAACUUACGCUAAUACCGCAUACGACCUACGGGUGAAAGCAGGGGAUCUUCGGACCUUGCGCGAUUGAAUGAGCCGAUGUCGGAUUAGCUAGUUGGCGGGGUAAAGGCCCACCAAGGCGACGAUCCGUAGCUGGUCUGAGAGGAUGAUCAGCCACACUGGAACUGAGACACGGUCCAGACUCCUACGGGAGGCAGCAGUGGGGAAUAUUGGACAAUGGGCGCAAGCCUGAUCCAGCCAUACCGCGUGGGUGAAGAAGGCCUUCGGGUUGUAAAGCCCUUUUGUUUGGAAAGAAAAGCAGCAGGUUAAUACCCCGCUGUUCUGACGGUACCCAAAGGAUAAGCACCGGCUAACUUCGUG
RNAcentral lists this ribosomal RNA (492 nucleotides) under uncultured bacterium. Its description in RNAcentral is "partial 16S ribosomal RNA". It matches the Rfam family "Bacterial small subunit ribosomal RNA", at positions 29 to 507 of the family's 1533-position model. The record is from RNAcentral.